GCUGGGCAUGGUGGCGCAUGCCUGUAAUCCCAUUGGCUCAGGAGGCUGAGGCAGGAGGAAAAAAACACUUUUUUUU
RNAcentral lists this small RNA (76 nucleotides) under Marmota monax (woodchuck). The record is from RNAcentral. Lineage: Eukaryota; Metazoa; Chordata; Mammalia; Rodentia; Sciuridae.